RNAcentral lists this unclassified non-coding RNA (221 nucleotides) under uncultured Gammaproteobacteria bacterium. Its description in RNAcentral is "contains 16S-23S intergenic spacer region". It matches the Rfam family "Bacterial small subunit ribosomal RNA", at positions 980 to 1197 of the family's 1533-position model. The record is from RNAcentral. Lineage: Bacteria; Pseudomonadati; Pseudomonadota; Gammaproteobacteria.
UACCCUUGACAUGCCAGGAACCCGAGUGAAAGCUUGGGGUGCUCGAAAGAGAACCUGGACACAGGUGCUGCAUGGCUGUCGUCAGCUCGUGUCGUGAGAUGUUGGGUUAAGUCCCGCAACGAGCGCAACCCUUGUCAUUAGUUGCUACAUUUAGUUGGGCACUCUAAUGAGACUGCCGGUGACAAACCGGAGGAAGGUGGGGAUGACGUUACGGUCUUACU